RNAcentral lists this long non-coding RNA (994 nucleotides) under Homo sapiens (human). RNAcentral describes it as "HSALNT0267216". Lineage: Eukaryota; Metazoa; Chordata; Mammalia; Primates; Hominidae. The record is from RNAcentral.
AGAAAACAGAGGCUCAGGGAUGGGAAGUCACUUGCCUGUGAUCACAUGACAGAUGAGCAAUCAGGAUGGGAUUUAAGCCAGGUCAUACUGUUUCCAAAGGAUUUGGUAAAUCUCCAAACUUACUGCCUUAGUUUGGGUUCUCCAGGAAACAGACUCAGAAAGAGCUUGAGUGUAGGUAGUUUUUGUGGGGGGUGAUCUCAGGAGGCAGGAGUGAAGGAGCUGGGAGAGCAAGGCAAGAAGGUAGGAAACACCAGCAUAAGGGUGCUUGCUGUGGUUUCAGGUCUUAACUCUGCAGGAUCUCUUAGAGACCAGGGCAGUUACUACCACCAGCGUCAGUCCCUGCCUGGUUGAAUGUGCUCGUAAGGGUGUUAAUUCUCUUCCACUUUCAGGAUGUGUCUGAAGAGGGCUGAGUAGACUCCAGAGAAUCUGAAAAAGACUUUGAGUCAAAAAGCAGAAAGAAGCUUAGCAAAUGCAUGAAAUAGGUGCCGUCAGCAUGAGUCUCAUGAACCGGACUCCACAGCUGCAGCUGAGUGUGUAGGUGGCCUGAGGGAUGCGGUGCCGGCCACUGACACCAACAACUCUGUUACACUUAUUCUAGCUCAAGUUCUUUUUCCUCCUUCUUCACCAUGACCUUGUGAGUUAGGAGAUCAGUUUUCAACUUUCUAGCUGGAAAGGUUGAGGCUGUGAAUUGUCAAUGACUUGCCAGAAGGCACACAGUAAACAGUGCCCUUGGGACCUCUGUUUAGAGGAAGAGCUUCACAUUUAGCUUGCUUUCUAUUGUGACUCACUCUGUUCAACUAAGUUAUGAACAAGCCUCGAUGCACAAGGAUGAAAGAAAUCAGAUUUGAGAAAGCCCAGUCUUCACCCAUGGACAGCUGAGAAAGGCAUGAGACAGGAAUAUUAUAAUUCAUCUAUAAGAAAGUGCUCAUCUAAAGAAGAAAAUGCUAGCCAGACUUCCUCUGAGACACAGCCAGAUUCUGUCUGAAGAUACAGA